CAGUAGCCACGGUAACACGGAGGGUGCAAGCGUUACUCGGAAUUACUGGGCGUAAAGCGUGCGUAGGUGGUGGUUUAAGUCCGUUGUGAAAGCCCUGGGCUCAACCUGGGAAUUGCAGUGGAUACUGGGUCACUAGAGUGUGGUAGAGGAUAGUGGAAUUUCCGGUGUAGCAGUGAAAUGCGUAGAGAUCGGAAGGAACAUCUGUGGCGAAGGCGACUAUCUGGGCCAACACUGACACUGAGGCACGAAAGCGUGGGGAGCAAACAGGAUUAGAUACCCCCGUAGUCCCUGUCUCUUAUAC
This 301-nucleotide ribosomal RNA is filed under the name uncultured bacterium. RNAcentral describes it as "partial 16S ribosomal RNA". It matches the Rfam family "Bacterial small subunit ribosomal RNA", at positions 509 to 807 of the family's 1533-position model. The record is from RNAcentral.